CCUACCCAGCCGGGGGCGCCAGGCUCGGAUUCCGGCACCCUAGCUUGCGACCUACGACCCAGGGGCGUCUGGUGCACGCGCACACUGACUUUCUGCAGAUGGGUUUGCUCAAACCACGAAUCCUUACAACUCUGCGCUCCUUGGAUCUUCCCAGCGACCCUCGUGUAACAUAAUUGGGAACUGAGACCCUGCAGAAUAAAGCGACUUGCCCAAAACACGUGGUGGGGCUCCGGGAGAGGAGGGAAGAGCUCCAGCCCACUCAGGUCUCCGCAUCCCCCUCCAAGGGCUCAGGCAGCAGCUGGGUUAUCACUGUGCCCUGCAGUCACCCAGGAGAGGCCAGAAGGAGUGAUGCGGACAGGGCCAAGCCAGCCCCAGAUCAGAAAAAACGAGCUGUUCUGGGAAGCCAAUAAAGCAUUAGAAUGAUGUGAAGGAGGAAAAAGGCACCCCGAGAAGAGUCGGGAAGCUCUGAGGAUUUCCGGCUUACUUUUUCAGUUACACCUGCCUCAGCAUAAACUGAGCACCGAGCUACAAGUCAGGUGGUCAAGUGGCUUUGUAAGGACAGAUGUGAUGAGUCUCUUCCCUCCAAAGGGGUCAGAUGUGUGCUUCCUAAGAGCCUUUGCAGUUCUGGGGAGCCCUGAGCAACCCUAGUAAUGUUGGGAAGCCAAGAAAAAAAAACAUUGUACAACCACUUGUAUCAUGGGAAAUUCUCAUGUGAUCUUGGAUCACAGAAAAAUGGAUAAUGGUGGGUUUCCUGGUUCCUUGAGCAAGCCCAGAAGGUCUGGGUAGGACACUAUGAUACCUGCCUGCUUUACUGGGCUCUGAUCAUAGAGAUGAGCCAGGGCUCCCCAAAGAGGCCCUGCCAUUGUUCCAUGCAGGGAGAAAGAAAAAGCCACCGCCCACGGUGGGAUCUGGAUGCUUCACCUUCAUCCUUCUGAACCACCCUGUGAUGGGCAUCUUGGUGCCUAGGUCUUUGCCCAUGCUUUGUUUCUUUACCCAGGCAGGACCCCCUGAAGGAAUCCCUGGGCAAAGCUGUGAACAUUUCCAAGCCUCCUUGUGCCUCUGUCUGUUUCCAGCUGGAGCCAAGACUUGAGGUGAAGGGUGGAGGAACGAUUCCCCAGGGAGCUGCAGCAGGAGCUGGAGGGUAUUUCCAUGGGCCCUGUCUUGUGUCAUCUGCACAGUGGACUGUGCACACAUGAAGGCCACCCUCCACCCCUCAACAUGACCCAAAACCCUAGUGCAAAGAAUAUUACCCCUCAACAUGAUCCCAGAACCUUAGUGCAAAGAGCAUUCUAGCUACCCCCUGCUUCCCUUAAAGCCACCUGCUCUCUGGGUCACCCUUAUCCAGUCAGUUGUCUGCAUCCAUUGGCUGCUGGCUAGAGCAGAAGCACUGGUCCCCUGGUGUGCAGCGGGGCAUAUGGCUGGCUCCCAGCACCUGCUUGCUGAGUGGAACCUCAGCGUCUGAUAGGGAAGUCCACAGGAGGGGCUGGAAGGAGAGACCACUCAGCCUGAGAAGAAGGCUGAGUUGGCCUGGGCCUUGGUGUCCUUCGGAGAGACCACGAUGCAAAGGACAAAGGCACACCUCUCUUUGCUGUGUCACUGAGUGUGAAAAAGACAGGAAACUGCCUUAAAAUGCAAUGUCAUUUUAGACAUUGACACGGGAUUGGUUACCUGAGACGGUAGAAUCACAGAGUGGAUGCUAUUAAACCUGCUCCAUUAAAGGAGAGGUGCGAUCACAGUCCUGGGGGGCCGCUGGAUGUUUCUUACAACUUCCCUCAUCAUGGCAGUCUUGGGAAUGGCUGUGGGGCGGGGUAAUGAUCGAGGCCCUGGAACUCUGUCACUGGAGGCCCUGGGAGCUCCUUCCAUGGUGUCUACUGCAUGACCCAGAGCUGUCCCUGGGUUCUCCCCAUUCAUUCAACUUUCUCCAGCCAGACACUCAGCCUGUCCGGGUUUGCCCCUAGGCCUGGAGGCCAUGGUGUGGCAGUAGCGGCAGCAGCCUGUGACCCAGAACCAGGCGGUUCCUGCAGUUAGUUCCACAGGGUUCUCCUCCCUUCCUCCUUCCCAAAGGCUAGAGUAAGAGUCGACCAAACAAACUCCUAUUAGUAUGCAUAUGUAUUCCCACAUUCCUUAACAGAAUGACUAACACCACCUACAGCCAUUAGCUGAGUUUGUUUUCUAAAUCCAGUUUACUUUCUGUCAUCCAGCCCUGUUUACCACUUCCCGUCCCCCUCCCUCCUUCCCAGCCUUCUAUCCAUUCCCAGGGGGCAGGUUCCUGAGGCACGCAGGGCUCAGACCCUCCUGGCCACCAAAGUCAGGCACCAGAGAACUUGUGACUGAGCAUCUUCCCUGCGGGGCCUACCACUUUGAUACAAGAUAGAAGGCACAAAAGGAGACUGAAGAGACCCACACCAGUGCUGGCUCUGGGGCCUGCAGGCUAUAGAGCACUCCCAGACAAGCAUGUUAGUUCACCCCCCUGUAAUCCCAGCACUCUUCGAGGCUGGGGCUGCAGGAUCUCACGUUCAGGCCCAGUCUGGGCAGUUUAGCAAUUCAGUAAGACCCUGUCUCAAAAAAUAAAAUAAAAAUAAAAAGGGCUGAGGGUGUAAUUCAGUGGGAAGGCCCUGGGUUCAAUCGCCAGUACUUAAAAAAAAUUCCCAAUGUUUCCCUACUGAUUGGGCACAACAAUCACACAGAUCAUGAUCCCCAUUUUUCAACAAAAACACCGAGUCCCUGACUGAUAACACGCCAGCUCUGAGAGCUUGGAGAUGUUGACUGAUGAUGCUGGAUUACAAAUCGAGUCUUCAGACCCCGCAUCUCUGGUUCCUUCUGCGGCUGAGGCAGCCCCUCUUAUUCUAAGUGGCAGAUGGCCUAGGGCAGCCUGGUACACCCUCAGCUGGGGGCAGAGCAAGGCUGGGGGAACACAGCUGGCUUCACAUAGGCUCUCCAGCCCUCAAGGACCACAAGGACCUGGGCACACUUAGGAGAUUCUGGAAUUUAGUGGUGUGGUGGAAUGAACAGCAAUGAAAAAGAUAUGGAUAGAGAACCCGAUUCCUAGUGUGACCUUGGGCAACUGUCCCUUUGUCUGGGCCUCAGUUUCCCGGCCUCUAAAAUCACACAAUCAAGACUAACUGGCCUCUUGGAGCCAAUCAAAAGCAAGAGCCAUUCAAAGCAGAAAACAGUAGAUGACAGAGACUUCCCUGGUGUUCUGUCACCUACCAGGGAAUCCCCAAAUUUGAAGGCUGAUAUUGAACCAGGAUCUCACAAAGUGGGCUGUUGCAAGUGUGUGGCAGAUCAGGGCAGGACCACAGCUCAUUGCUGGGGCCUUGUCCCCUCUACCCUGAAGCCCACACCUCUCUUGGCAAUAGCAAGAGUGCAGGGACCGUGUGACAGCUUCUCUCUGCCCUGGAUGGCAACUGUUCAAUUUAAUUCUCAUAAAAACCCAGUCAGGGCCUAGUAUUAUCCCCAUUUUACAGAUACGGCAACCAAGACCCAGGCAAGCUACAUAAGCUGGGUCAGGGAGGUGGGAGGGAGCAGGUCUAUAGUUCUAACCCUGACAUGCCAACUCCAGUGCUAGAACGGGUUGUUUGGGCAGUGCAUUUGUUUAGAGAGGAUUAAUAGGAGCAAAAUCACCAUCUAAGGAGAAUUAAUAGAGGAAAAUCACCAUCUCUGCCCCAAUAUGGCCAGAGCAAACCCUCCUUUUUCCUACUGGCUCCUGUUUCCUUCCGUCACCGCUCCCUGCCUCCUUUAUGCAUUGUUUGGAACAUACAGUCAUAAGUGUGCGGUUUGUUUUAUAAUCCAGUCGACUGUGGAAGCGCAGCCAUUGUCAUUUAUGUCCCUGCCUCAGCACCGUUCACCCGAGAGAUUUAUCGAGGUACGAAUUGACUGACUACAAGAUUCUUUCCAUUCCUUAAUCAAGUCCUUGGCUCCUCUUUCAAAGAGACUUGGAGAAUGGAGCAGAAACCAACCUAUGCCUGUCCUGAGCGGGACAAUAAUUCAAUUUAAUCUAAUAAAACUGCCUUUGUGGCUCCACAUGAAAACUACAGAGAAGGAUUAAGGGAAGAAUCAGCCAUGGCCCCAUCCUGCACUCUGGCUGCCCUGACCAGCCAAGUACCCAGAUAAUUGCCGUAUAGAAUCACAGGGUAAAAACAGAAAGUGUGGGAGACAUUGUGUAUUUACAGAAUAGAGAUCAUCUCAAAGCAGAUAAGUCAGAUAAGACUUCAAGGGCAGGAUGACAGAUAAAAGAUGAAUAACACUUGAAGGAUGAUAGUGUUUUGACUGGGAAACAGAUGAGAGGAACUGGCAGGAGCGGCGGGGUAAGAGUGUGGGUGGAAGGAAAGAAGAAGGACAGUAAAAUGGGUUUAGGACCGUGGAGAGUUUCCUGCGUGACCAAAUCACAGGGCAGGAGAUGGCCUGGUGGCUGGGAUGUGGGCUCAGGGGUCAGAUUUGGAGUUAAAUUCAACACCCCCCCCCAUCCAGAAGGAAAGUUCUUGGGAACGUUAUAAAAUCUUUGUCUCCAUUUGUUCCUCAGCCAAGUGGGAAUAAUGACAGUGACCUUCGUGGGAUGGAUGAGAGGCGUCUAAAGAGAGUCCUCCCAGCCAAGUACGGUAGUGCUCACCUGUAAUCCCAGCGCUUCUGUUCUUUUAUAGUUGUUUUUCUGCAAUCAUGACUGGGUGUGCUGGGGAAUAAGCACACAGUAGGCUGGCUCUACGUCAAACACAGAGAUGAUGGGUCCAGAUCCCUUCCUACAGACCCCUGAGAAGCACUGCAGGGUUUUGAACUGAUCUGCAUGGGGACUACCAGGGAAGGAACCAAAGAAAGGAAAUCAGUUGUGAUGGUUUGGAUAAAUGUCCCCCAGAUGUAUGUGCAUUCAGGGAUUCCUCAUGGGCAUGUGAUGCUAUCAGGAGGUUGUGGAGAUUUUAGAGGUGGAGCCCUAGUGGGAGGUCAGUGAGGCCUGUGUCCUGGAAUGGGAAUCUGAGCCCGUGGUCUCUUCCUCUUCUUAUUCUGCUUCCUCUUCUUCUUCUCCUAACCAUGAGGUGAGUAUUUUUGCCUCUUAUUGCUGCCAUGAUGAGCUGACUUACCACUGACUCAAAAUCAAUGGGCCUGUGGGCUGAAACCUCUAAAACUGUGAGCCAAAAUAAACUUUUUCUCUCUAUAAGCUGAUUGCUUCAGAUGUUUGUUACAGUAACAGAAAACUGACUAACAGUAGUUAUAAAUUUACUGAGAGAGUUUCCAGCUAAGGGGAGAGAAGAGGUCAGUCCAAUAGUAACAGUAGAAAUUGAUGUGAGAAAUGGAAUAGAGAGGACUCUGGAGAUGACCAGAUUGGAGUCAGCAUGAAGAAUGGUUGGUAUCCUUGGGAAAGACUGAAAGAUGAGAGAGAGCAGGAGAGGAGGUGGGGGUGAUGGAUUUCAUAUGGGAUGUGGGGUACUGAGAACUUGGCGACACCCAGAUCAUCUUAUCUGGGACAAGAGUAAACAGAUAGGUGGAGGAAAUGGUUAGCCGUAGAACGGAGGUGAAGGUCAUGAGAAUGGAGGAAAUCCCCAGGGGACAAAGUGUAGGGUGAGAGAGAGGUGGGGUUAGGGACCUACACUUACUCAUCUGUACUCCACACAGGGUCCUGCUGUAGUCCUCACACCUGUUGACAGGAGUCUUUUCCUCCUGCUUUGGAGAGAUCAGUUGGCCCCUACUGAUGGACAAAGAGACAUAGUACCAUAAGGUUAAGGUCUCACUGCAAGUGAGAGAAGACAGCCAACGUGGAUCGUGAUGCAAUUUCU
Molecule: long non-coding RNA, 5765 nt
Organism: Cavia porcellus (domestic guinea pig)
Lineage: Eukaryota; Metazoa; Chordata; Mammalia; Rodentia; Caviidae
Exons: 3
Source: RefSeq, a predicted model, not a curated record